AGGUUAACCGAAUAGGGGAGCCGAAGGGAAACCGAGUCUUAACUGGGCGUUAAGUUGCAGGGUAUAGACCCGAAACCCGGUGAUCUAGCCAUGGGCAGGUUGAAGGUUGGGUAACACUAACUGGAGGACCGAACCGACUAAUGUUGAAAAAUUAGCGGAUGACUUGUGGCUGGGGGUGAAAGGCCAAUCAAACCGGGAGAUAGCUGGUUCUCCCCGAAAGCUAUUUAGGUAGCGCCUCGUGAAUUCAUCUCCGGGGGUAGAGCACUGUUUCGGCAAGGGGGUCAUCCCGACUUACCAACCCGAUGCAAACUGCGAAUACCGGAGAAUGUUAUCACGGGAGACACACGGCGGGUGCUAACGUCCGUCGUGAAGAGGGAAACAACCCAGACCGCCAGCUAAGGUCCCAAAGUCAUGGUUAAGUGGGAAACGAUGUGGGAAGGCCCAGACAGCCAGGAUGUUGGCUUAGAAGCAGCCAUCAUUUAAAGAAAGCGUAAUAGCUCACUGGUCGAGUCGGCCUGCGCGGAAGAUGUAACGGGGCUAAACCAUGCACCGAAGCUGCGGCAGCGACACUAUGUGUUGUUGGGUAGGGGAGCGUUCUGUAAGCCUGUGAAGGUGGCCUGUGAGGGUUGCUGGAGGUAUCAGAAGUGCGAAUGCUGACAUAAGUAACGAUAAAGCGGGUGAAAAGCCCGCUCGCCGGAAGACCAAGGGUUCCUGUCCAACGUUAAUCGGGGCAGGGUGAGUCGACCCCUAAGGCGAGGCCGAAAGGCGUAGUCGAUGGGAAACAGGUUAAUAUUCCUGUACUUGGUGUUACUGCGAAGGGGGGACGGAGAAGGCUAUGUUGGCCGGGCGACGGUUGUCCCGGUUUAAGCGUGUAGGCUGGUUUUCCAGGCAAAUCCGGAAAACCAAGGCUGAGGCGUGAUGACGAGGCACUACGGUGCUGAAGUGACAAAUGCCCUGCUUCCAGGAAAAGCCUCUAAGCAUCAGGUAACAUCAAAUCGUACCCCAAACCGACACAGGUGGUCAGGUAGAGAAUACCAAGGCGCUUGAGAGAACUCGGGUGAAGGAACUAGGCAAAAUGGUGCCGUAACUUCGGGAGAAGGCACGCUGAUAUGUAGGUGAAGCGACUUGCUCGUGGAGCUGAAAUCAGUCGAAGAUACCAGCUGGCUGCAACUGUUUAUUAAAAACACAGCACUGUGCAAACACGAAAGUGGACGUAUACGGUGUGACGCCUGCCCGGUGCCGGAAGGUUAAUUGAUGGGGUUAGCGGUAACGCGAAGCUCUUGAUCGAAGCCCCGGUAAACGGCGGCCGUAACUAUAACGGUCCUAAGGUAGCGAAAUUCCUUGUCGGGUAAGUUCCGACCUGCACGAAUGGCGUAAUGAUGGCCAGGCUGUCUCCACCCGAGACUCAGUGAAAUUGAACUCGCUGUGAAGAUGCAGUGUACCCGCGGCAAGACGGAAAGACCCCGUGAACCUUUACUAUAGCUUGACACUGAACAUUGAGCCUUGAUGUGUAGGAUAGGUGGGAGGCUUUGAAGUGUGGACGCCAGUCUGCAUGGAGCCGACCUUGAAAUACCACCCUUUAAUGUUUGAUGUUCUAACGUUGGCCCCUAAUCGGGGUUGCGGACAGUGUCUGGUGGGUAGUUUGACUGGGGCGGUCUCCUCCUAAAGAGUAACGGAGGAGCACGAAGGUUGGCUAAUCCUGGUCGGACAUCAGGAGGUUAGUGCAAUGGCAUAAGCCAGCUUGACUGCGAGCGUGACGGCGCGAGCAGGUGCGAAAGCAGGUCAUAGUGAUCCGGUGGUUCUGAAUGGAAGGGCCAUCGCUCAACGGAUAAAAGGUACUCCGGGGAUAACAGGCUGAUACCGCCCAAGAGUUCAUAUCGACGGCGGUGUUUGGCACCUCGAUGUCGGCUCAUCACAUCCUGGGGCUGAAGUAGGUCCCAAGGGUAUGGCUGUUCGCCAUUUAAAGUGGUACGCGAGCUGGGUUUAGAACGUCGUGAGACAGUUCGGUCCCUAUCUGCCGUGGGCGCUGGAGAACUGAGGGGGGCUGCUCCUAGU
This 2055-nucleotide ribosomal RNA is filed under the name Escherichia coli. RNAcentral's name for it is "partial 23S ribosomal RNA". It matches the Rfam family "Bacterial large subunit ribosomal RNA", at positions 643 to 2682 of the family's 2925-position model. Lineage: Bacteria; Pseudomonadati; Pseudomonadota; Gammaproteobacteria; Enterobacterales; Enterobacteriaceae. The record is from RNAcentral.